This 200-nucleotide ribosomal RNA is filed under the name Escherichia coli B26-2. RNAcentral describes it as "partial 16S ribosomal RNA". The record is from RNAcentral. Lineage: Bacteria; Pseudomonadati; Pseudomonadota; Gammaproteobacteria; Enterobacterales; Enterobacteriaceae.
GCACAGCGGGUAUGACGCGGCAGGAAGGCUAACGGCGCAGACGGACGCGGCGGGACGGCGGACAGAGUAUGGUCUGAAUGUGGUAUCCGGCGAUAUCACGGACAUCACCACACCGGACGGGCGGGAGACGAAAUUUUACUAUAACGACGGGAACCAGCUGACGGCGGUGGUGUCCCCGGACGGGCUGGAGAGCCGCCGGG